CUCCCAUACUACCAGCCCACCACUUGGGGAAAACCUUGCGAAAGUAAAACUAAUACCCAAUGAUAUCUCUAGAAGACAUCUGAAAGAGAUUAAAGAUUUAUCGGUGAUGGGUGGGGAUGCGUCUGAUUAGCUUGUUGGCGGGGUAACGGCCCACCAAGGCGACGAUCAGUAGGGGUUCUGAGAGGAAGGUCCCCCACAUUGGAACUGAGACACGGUCCAAACUCCUACGGGAGGCAGCAGUGAGGAAUAUUGGUCAAUGGACGAGAGUCUGAACCAGCCAAGUAGCGUGCAGGAUGACGGCCCUAUGGGUUGUAAACUGCUUUUAUAAGGGAAUAAAGUGAGUCUCGUGAGACUUUUUGCAUGUACCCUAUGAAUAAGGACCGGCUAAUUCCGUGCCAGCAGCCGCGGUAAUACGGAAGGUCCGGGCGUUAUCCGGAUUUAUUGGGUUUAAAGGGAGCGUAGGCCGGAGAUUAAGCGUGUUGUGAAAUGUAGACGCUCAACGUCUGCACUGCAGCGCGAACUGGUUUCCUUGAGUACGCACAAAGUGGGCGGAAUUCGUGGUGUAGCGGUGAAAUGCUUAGAUAUCACGAAGAACUCCGAUAACGAAGGCAGCUCAAUGAAGCGCAACUGACGCUAAAGCUCGAAAGGGCGGAAAUCGAACACGAUUAG
Molecule: ribosomal RNA, 669 nt
Filed under: uncultured Bacteroidota bacterium
Lineage: Bacteria; Pseudomonadati; Bacteroidota
Description: bacterial SSU rRNA
Rfam family: Bacterial small subunit ribosomal RNA
Source: RNAcentral